This 964-nucleotide long non-coding RNA is filed under the name Eptatretus burgeri (inshore hagfish). RNAcentral's name for it is "lncRNA (ENSEBUG00000017386.1)". The record is from RNAcentral. Lineage: Eukaryota; Metazoa; Chordata; Myxini; Myxiniformes; Myxinidae.
CAGCAGCCAAAAAGGCAGCAUACGAAGGGAGGAUACCUUUUAUUUGGGUGGUAUAUAGGCAAAUGACAGCUCUGUGUAGACAAUUUUUUUUACCUACUCUUGUUCACAGCCUCUGCAACCUGGAACUUCGAAUCAGGAGGACGCCAGACUUGGAGCGGCCGCUGCAAACAUCGAAAUUCAAAACACCACCCGCUGUGUCAAUCAAAAGGCAUCUAUUGCAUCCAGUGAUGAGUCUUCUUGUAAACGCUUUCAUACCAGCAUGUCAAGGAAACGAGGCUCACCAACUGGACCUCAGAGAAGAAAAGGGGAAAGGGUGUGGGGUGUAAGUUCCUGCAAACUGGACAAAAGGUGUUCAGCUAGCUUCAGAAGUACCACGACCAAACUCACGUCGACAACUCCUCCCACUUUUACCCCUCAAGUCCCCCUACAAACGUAGAAAAGGAGCUCAAGUCCUGUGCAGAAACAUCUUGGCAGAAAAACCACAGUUUUGCAUCAAAACACUUGCAUUUCGGGCGCUUCGAUGGGGUUGCAUCAUCAGUAGAUUUACUGCUCCUCUUUUGGGCUCUUACCAACUCACUAUUGUUAAACUUCAGUUUGCAUGGUUGGAGGUGCCAGCGCACACGUUUCUCGAUGAAUUCCCCAAGAUGUUGUUUGUCAAAACGAAGGGGUACUGGCAUACGACCAAUAUUUCUGAAGCAUUCGACAUUGUCCAGAAAAUCGCUGUACAUUUUAAUGCUGCCUGGAUUAUUUGCUGGGCACCGCAGGGUAGCAUUGGUUGUGGUCUGGCAAAUGAUGCACUUGUCCCAGUUGACAUUCAAGUUACUGCAUCUAGUGGCGACCUGAAAAAAGUAGAGGAAGGAAACAUCAGGUUUUAAACUUGGAUUUAUUUAGCCUUCUGAAAUUUUGCAUUUCCGAUUGUGUGACUAACUGCUAAUAGAUGAAAGGGUGAUGGUCAUGCUUGGGG